AGAGAGAGAGAGAGAGAGAGAGAGAACCCAUGUAUGUGCCUCACGUCACAGAGCAGGACAAAGACAAAGGUAGGGUCAACUCUGACUCCUGGCCUGUAGCCGAGCCUGCCCUGGCCUGGCCAUGGAGGCUGUGAUGUCAUGUCUUUUGUGCCUGUGACAGUCCUGCAUUCUCUCACUACACUAGGUCGCUAACAAGUGGGCUGCAGCCCUCCAGGGCCUUUAGCGUGCACUCAUCUGGCAACUGUGCUGCCCCCAGACGCUCAGAUUUAUUUUGCCAAAGUUACAGGGCAAUUAUGGAAAUGUGCCCUUUGAAGCCAGCCUGAUUUCUCUUUAUUUCCUUCUCCCUGACAGAGCAGAACAGAGCCUCUCCGCCUCUCUCUCUCUCUCUCUCUCUCUCUCUCUCUCUCUCUCUCUCUCUCUCCCUCUCUCUCCUCCCCCUCUGUUCCUAAUAAUCCUUACAUAGUGGAAGCUUCUAGGGACAGUGUUGGGGGGAAAAACUUCUAAGUAGCAUCUAAAUUGUGUGGAUAUGAAAUAGCAUCAAUUUAAUUUUCAUGCUCUGUUUUGUUUUUUAAGUGGAGUGCUCCUGGCCAUGAAAAGAGAAACGUAUCAGGGAGAGUGAGAGGUAAAUGCCUCUGCCUAGCUGCUAGACUCUGCCCACGUCUGUAGCCUUUACUUAGAGGAAGGCAGAUGACCCACUGGGGCAGACUGGUCCCCUAAGCACCCUGUUCUAGCCCUGAAAUCUAAGCUCUACAAAGCAUAGCCAAGGGCCUUUGUUCUUGUACCUAGGGAAGAAGACAUCCCUACGUUUCUCUUGUAGAUGCUGACGCCAAGAGCAAGCAACAAAAAAAGUGGUCACAGAUGCCAGCAUAAAUCAUGCAGUUGGUUGGGCCUAGGAAUUACAGUUAUUCCUCUGCUAUCAUCAGGUCUACCAAGAAUUAAAAACUCGCUCUUGCUCAGUAGCCCCAGGUUUGGUGGCUUUGCAGAAUUGUCAACAGGACAUGGAAUCUGGUGCCUCUGUGUGAAGUGACCCCUUGUGUUUCUGGCAUUGGCGUGUUGAAUUAAAAGUUAGAUGGUGUGGGUGGAAUGGACUCUGAGGAUAUGCAGUGAAGGGUCAUGAUGGGGGUCCAUGUCUGGGUUUGCCUAGAGUCUGGGGCCUCCACCUCUACUUUAGAAAGUGACUUUGAAGUUUCUUUGUCCCUGUGGUCACUUGCUCCUUCUUCCCUGCCCUCCUGCCUUCAGAAGAUCUGCUCCUGACAUAGACUGACCCCACCAUUAAGAAGCCUACCCACCCUUCCCCAACUACCUACAGCAGCGGCUGCUCUUGAGCUCACGUGCUUUCUUGUUUUGUUUGCAUUUGCUGUUGACACAGGCCUCAAAGUGUAGGCCAGGCUGGCCUCAAAAGCAAUAUGAACUGCUGAUUUUUCUGCCAUUACCUUCCAAGUGCUGGGACUACCGGCCUCCUCUCUAGUCUUCCUGCACUGACUUUACAGACUAAACUAAUGUGGAACUGAGUGAGUUGGCAAAGGACUUCUCAGAUGUAGGUUCAGCCACUUGCACAAUGUGGCCAAUAAAUGGAAAAGCCAAAUCCGGACCCUGGACAUCUUGAUUCCAGAAUGGGAUGCUGACACAGUUCUUUGCAUCUGGAUUCGGAGCAGAUGGCCCUGCGUCUGUGAAUCCACAUUGCCCCAUUCCUUCCUACUCCCUGGCAUAGCUGAUGUUCAUGGGCCUAAAGAUCUUGGUAAGACCCCAACCCAUAGUUUUCACCGAAUCUCACCCACUUCUACAGUGAAGAAUGGGACUCCAUUUGAGUGGCCGUGCCAGAGGGUAACCUUGAACUCCUGCCACAUUCUCCACUUUGCCAGUAGUUACAGGUCAGGAUGUGGAUCUUUGCCCACUCCUUUAACCCUUUCUCAUGCCCAGUCCAUGUGGAAGGGCUGCCAGCAUAGGCACACAUCAAAGAUUUCCCCUGAGAGCAGGAAAAGCCCACCCUCCACAGUAGAAGACUCAUCCUACCCCUAGAUCUGCCAUUCAGCAAGGGUCCCUGGACCAUCAACAGUGUAUGAAGCUCAGUCUACUCCCUACCCUCCUACACCCGAAUCUGCCUUUGCAUGGAGAGGUCUGGGUGAGUACCGCACGUGUAUAUUAGUGACAUCCCUGCCCCCUGCCCUCUAGAAGCUCCCCCAACAAGACAUGGAACCUCGCCAGCAUGGACCUGAGCUGGAAUUGUCCCUGAGUCUGGGGGCUCUCCAGGAAUGCAGUGCAGGGCUAGGAUGGAGGGAAAUUCAAGGGAAUGAGGCAAGUCAGGGGAAGGACUCUUAAACCAGCAGAACUAGACUAGUCUGUGGGUGGCUGUGAACACUGGCCGGCCCCUUGUGCCCAUCGCCUAUGCCCAUGUGCCCUUCCAGAUGUCUCCCAGCAACAGGACAAACACUGGAAGCAUAAACGCCUACCGGUGGUUUCUUACCAUAUUAAAGCGAACAUCACAUCUGCACUAGAGUCAGUAGGCAGUUGGCCCCCUGGGCCAUUGAAACACCAAGAAUCCAUGCCCAGCACCAUUGCUCUGCACCAAAGGCCUUGGAGAGUGUCAGUCUAGCCUUGCUGAGCCUCAGGGUCUUCCUGUGUUAUACCUGUUUGCCUCUGUGCCUGGACCUCACUGAGCAGAGCCUUCCUGUCAAAGCACAAGCAUCCGGAUGAUCAUCUAGUCUUCAAAUGGUCCUACAAGGUAGGUAUUGCAGUUCUCAUCAGGACUCUUUAAAAUGGAGAAACUGAAGCUCAAAGAGGCAAUUCUACUAAUCCACGUUCCCAGAAAGUGAUUUAACCCAGACAGGUUGGACCAGAGCUGCUGUUACAAAACCACUGCGCUGCAAGGCUAUAGUAAUAGUGCUUACUCCAUAGAGGUCACUGUAUUGUGGGAGUACACAUCACACACACACACUUACUUACUCUCGUGCACACACAUUCUCUCACACUCACACACACACUCACACACUCACACAUUCAUACACACUCACAUUUACAUACACACAUUCACACUCUCACACAUAUAUACACACUCACACAUACACACUCACACUCACACACACAUGCUCAUACUCUCUCUCUCUCUCUCUCUCUCUCUCUCUCUCACACACACACACACACACACACACACACACACACACUUGAGAGAACCAGGUUAUGUUGGCCCAUGGCGUAGUCUACCUCACAUGAUGGUGGAAGAGCCCAUCAAAGCUCCUCCCUCAUGAACAGGAUGUGAGAGAGGAAGGAGAGGCUAUCUCAAUGAUCACUCUCAAGGACACCCCCUUAUGGCCUGGCCACCUCUUACUAAACUCCACCUUUUAAAGACCCAUGACUCAAUUCUCUGAUCAAUCAACCUUUAACAUGGCCCCUUGGUGAACGUUUGAGAUCCAAACACUGGAGAGUGUUUGUUGGGACAAUAACGUGUCAAGUGCUUAGCAUAACACCAACAUGAUUGAAUAAUGUCAGUGGACAGAGUGAGGAACUUUUCACCAGAAAACACCGGAAUCGUGAUCAAGUGAUAAUCUGCUUCAAAGAUUACUGCAGAGUCACCUCAAGCCCAGGGGCAUAAAGUUAUAGCAGCUCACAGAUUUCUCUAAGUGCCAGAUAGUCAAGUGAAACUGUUUCUCUUGUUCAUCUCAGCCGUCAAAUCGCAAGGAAGUGUUCCAGUGAGCUCAGCGUGGGUCAUGCUCUUACUGCUGAUACAAUUACAAUGGUCAGGGUGUGUAGGAGGAAGAGACUCUCCUUUGAGGCUCAUGAUGGACUCCAUCAAGGAUGUCUGCUGGGCUAGAGUGGGGUGGAGGGAUGAGGAACAAGGCCUGGGCAGAAAGAGAAGGGAGCUUGAUCUUGGGCUGGCUGUGUGGCAGGCACAGCAUCCUGGUUCCAUCUCCAACACCAUCAAAAGGGAGAAGAGUGCUCAAUUCUUUCACCAAAUGCCAGUCUGGUAUGGUUGGUGACAAAGCACUGGCUGAGACCAGAGCCAGCUAGCCUCAGAGACCUUCCCACACUUCAGAUGUUAAGGUCCCCUUUGGAUCAUAUGGGGCUGGACACAGGCUGUGCAACAACUUUUCUAGCUAUUCUAGCUGAGCAGCCUUGGGUGGGGGAAGAGCUCUAACACCCAGCAGAGUGACAAAGGCUGGUUGAAUGAGGACUCCUGGGGAGCUCAAGGUCACCAGAACUUUAGUGACAGCCAUUUCUCUUCUCUCUGUCAUCCCUCCAUCUCUCUUCCCCUCUCAUUUGAACCUGAACUGGAAAAUGCUUGCUGGAGCUGGGUACUGGCCUGCCCUCGUCUUGGGGUUUGAUAUUUACCAAAUGCAUUUCUGCUUGGUAACUAAGAAAUAAAGUCAGACUUUUCCUGAAGC
This 4379-nucleotide long non-coding RNA is filed under the name Mus musculus (house mouse). RNAcentral's name for it is "predicted gene, 36380". Lineage: Eukaryota; Metazoa; Chordata; Mammalia; Rodentia; Muridae. The record is from RNAcentral.